RNAcentral lists this long non-coding RNA (476 nucleotides) under Homo sapiens (human). Its description in RNAcentral is "HSALNT0407522". Lineage: Eukaryota; Metazoa; Chordata; Mammalia; Primates; Hominidae. The record is from RNAcentral.
GGGCAUUGCCUGAAGCAGACAGCCAGAGGCAAUCUUUCAGGAAUGGAGUGAGGAAGAAAUGGGGAGGGAGAGCCAGCUGCCACAGUGUGAGCUGCCCUAUGGAGAGGCCUCUAUAGCAAGAAAGUGAGGCCUUCAGUCCAGCAACCCUCAAGCAACUGAAACCUGCCAACAACCACAUGAGUCAGCUUGGAAGUGGAUCCAUUACCCAUCAGGCUUUCAGAUGAGACCACAGCCCCGGCUGCCACCUUGAUUCCAACUUCAUGAGAGAUCCAGAGACAGAGAACCUAGCUAAUCUGUGACUAGAUUCCUGACUCACAGAAACUAUGAGAUAAUAAAUGUCUGUUGUUUUAAGCUGCUAAAUUCUAGGUAAUUUGUUACACAUCAAUACAUGGCUAAUACAAAGAUUUUUUUUUUCUGUGACAACUUUUUUUAUCAUAUGGAGAGGCAAAGGUGGCACAGACUCUACAAUCAGCCAA